GGGGCAUUAGCACAGCUGGGAGUGCGCUACGCUGGCAGCGUAGAGGUCGCCGGUUCGAGUCCGGUAUGCUCCA
This 73-nucleotide transfer RNA is filed under the name Ureibacillus terrenus. It matches the Rfam family "tRNA". From Rfam's summary of the family: Transfer RNA (tRNA) molecules are approximately 80 nucleotides in length. Their secondary structure includes four short double-helical elements and three loops (D, anti-codon, and T loops). RNAcentral also lists the same sequence under 1 other name. Lineage: Bacteria; Bacillati; Bacillota; Bacilli; Caryophanales; Caryophanaceae. The record is from Rfam by way of RNAcentral.